AAAAAAACAAAAAUUGAAUUUCAUUUUUGUUACCCACUUCUUGGAAAAGUGUUGAAGGAACCGAUAUGUCAACCAUAAUUUCAUUUGCUAAAAUACAUGCAUUUGAAUAAUCUUGUGUGUAGACGAAUACAAGUGAAAAUAUGUUAGCAAUGCCUUGUGUGGUGAAAUGUAUCAUAAUUUUUUUUCUUUUACUAUUUGUGAGCUACAAUAAUUAUCAACAAGGUCUCAAUUUGGCAAAAUGAAGAGUUCAACGACAACACUUACGGGUUUUAUAUAUACUUUGGUUUGAUGUGUAGUUUACUGGGACUAUAAUAUAUCACUUUUCCAAUUUUUUGUCAAAUCUCAAUGGUUGAUGGUAAUCAAACAUUUGAUAAUUAGAGUAAACAAAAGAAGGCAAGCCUUAAUGAAGCACAUGACAUGCCCAUCAGUUUUGAAGAUCCAUCAAUACAUUAGAAGC
Molecule: long non-coding RNA, 457 nt
Filed under: Trifolium pratense (red clover)
Lineage: Eukaryota; Viridiplantae; Streptophyta; Magnoliopsida; Fabales; Fabaceae
Description: long non-coding RNA (TPRA_LNC010698)
Source: RNAcentral